UGGGCUACGACCACGAUGGUG
RNAcentral lists this unclassified non-coding RNA (21 nucleotides) under Mus musculus (house mouse). RNAcentral's name for it is "oocyte_clustered_small_RNA13940". The record is from RNAcentral. Lineage: Eukaryota; Metazoa; Chordata; Mammalia; Rodentia; Muridae.